This 2053-nucleotide ribosomal RNA is filed under the name Salmonella enterica subsp. enterica serovar Kentucky. RNAcentral's name for it is "partial 23S ribosomal RNA". It matches the Rfam family "Bacterial large subunit ribosomal RNA", at positions 911 to 2858 of the family's 2925-position model. The record is from RNAcentral. Lineage: Bacteria; Pseudomonadati; Pseudomonadota; Gammaproteobacteria; Enterobacterales; Enterobacteriaceae.
UGUUUCGGCUAGGGGGCCAUCCCGGCUUACCAACCCGAUGCAAACUGCGAAUACCGGAGAAUGUUAUCACGGGAGACACACGGCGGGUGCUAACGUCCGUCGUGAAGAGGGAAACAACCCAGACCGCCAGCUAAGGUCCCAAAGUCAUGGUUAAGUGGGAAACGAUGUGGGAAGGCCCAGACAGCCAGGAUGUUGGCUUAGAAGCAGCCAUCAUUUAAAGAAAGCGUAAUAGCUCACUGGUCGAGUCGGCCUGCGCGGAAGAUGUAACGGGGCUAAACCAUGCACCGAAGCUGCGGCAGCGAACGUAUCACUUAAAGCGAUUCAGCGGAUGACGAUUGACGGAGCGAAGCGACGUCAAAGCGUAUACAAAGUCGAGUCGGUUUAAGGAUACGUUCGUUGGGUAGGGGAGCGUUCUGUAAGCCUGUGAAGGUGGCCUGUGAGGGUUGCUGGAGGUAUCAGAAGUGCGAAUGCUGACAUAAGUAACGAUAAAGCGGGUGAAAAGCCCGCUCGCCGGAAGACCAAGGGUUCCUGUCCAACGUUAAUCGGGGCAGGGUGAGUCGACCCCUAAGGCGAGGCCGAAAGGCGUAGUCGAUGGGAAACGGGUUAAUAUUCCCGUACUUGGUGUUACUGCGAAGGGGGGACGGAGAAGGCUAUGUUGGCCGGGCGACGGUUGUCCCGGUUUAAGCGUGUAGGUGUGUGUUCCAGGUAAAUCCGGUUCACUUUAACACUGAGGCGUGAUGACGAGGCACUACGGUGCUGAAGCAACAAAUGCCCUGCUUCCAGGAAAAGCCUCUAAGCAUCAGGUAACAUCAAAUCGUACCCCAAACCGACACAGGUGGUCAGGUAGAGAAUACCAAGGCGCUUGAGAGAACUCGGGUGAAGGAACUAGGCAAAAUGGUGCCGUAACUUCGGGAGAAGGCACGCUGACACGUAGGUGAAGUGAUUUACUCAUGGAGCUGAAGUCAGUCGAAGAUACCAGCUGGCUGCAACUGUUUAUUAAAAACACAGCACUGUGCAAACACGAAAGUGGACGUAUACGGUGUGACGCCUGCCCGGUGCCGGAAGGUUAAUUGAUGGGGUCAGCGCAAGCGAAGCUCCUGAUCGAAGCCCCGGUAAACGGCGGCCGUAACUAUAACGGUCCUAAGGUAGCGAAAUUCCUUGUCGGGUAAGUUCCGACCUGCACGAAUGGCGUAAUGAUGGCCAGGCUGUCUCCACCCGAGACUCAGUGAAAUUGAACUCGCUGUGAAGAUGCAGUGUACCCGCGGCAAGACGGAAAGACCCCGUGAACCUUUACUAUAGCUUGACACUGAACAUUGAGCCUUGAUGUGUAGGAUAGGUGGGAGGCUUUGAAGUGUGGACGCCAGUCUGCAUGGAGCCGACCUUGAAAUACCACCCUUUAAUGUUUGAUGUUCUAACGUGGACCCGUAAUCCGGGUUGCGGACAGUGUCUGGUGGGUAGUUUGACUGGGGCGGUCUCCUCCUAAAGAGUAACGGAGGAGCACGAAGGUUGGCUAAUCCUGGUCGGACAUCAGGAGGUUAGUGCAAUGGCAUAAGCCAGCUUGACUGCGAGCGUGACGGCGCGAGCAGGUGCGAAAGCAGGUCAUAGUGAUCCGGUGGUUCUGAAUGGAAGGGCCAUCGCUCAACGGAUAAAAGGUACUCCGGGGAUAACAGGCUGAUACCGCCCAAGAGUUCAUAUCGACGGCGGUGUUUGGCACCUCGAUGUCGGCUCAUCACAUCCUGGGGCUGAAGUAGGUCCCAAGGGUAUGGCUGUUCGCCAUUUAAAGUGGUACGCGAGCUGGGUUUAGAACGUCGUGAGACAGUUCGGUCCCUAUCUGCCGUGGGCGCUGGAGAACUGAGGGGGGCUGCUCCUAGUACGAGAGGACCGGAGUGGACGCAUCACUGGUGUUCGGGUUGUCAUGCCAAUGGCACUGCCCGGUAGCUAAAUGCGGAAGAGAUAAGUGCUGAAAGCAUCUAAGCACGAAACUUGCCCCGAGAUGAGUUCUCCCUGAGACUUAGAGUCUCCUGAAGGAACGUUGAAGACGACGACGUUGAUA